Molecule: long non-coding RNA, 3305 nt
Organism: Triticum aestivum (bread wheat)
Lineage: Eukaryota; Viridiplantae; Streptophyta; Magnoliopsida; Poales; Poaceae
Exons: 2
Source: RefSeq, a predicted model, not a curated record
AUUCCUGCCGGUAUGCUUAUUUUGGAGUUAGCCAAACAGGAUUUCGUAGAUGCACAUAGCGUCCACACAUCUUCUUUCCCACUUACACUUUCACACAGUCCAGAUCCCCUUUCUCCUUUCCUCCGUUGACUACAAAAUUUCUGCCGCUGGAUAAGCUUGUCGUCCUCACGAGCAGCCAUGGCAGCAGCUCGACUCGUUUGUGCCGACGCAGGGUAAUCAUCUACGGCGGCUGGCUUAGCUCCUCGUACGACUCCUCGGUCUCCUAGCAGCUGGGUGCCGUCGCUAUCGGUGUCCGUGCAGUUGAUUUGGGCGUGGAUUUUGUCUCUCGCUACUGUCUUGGAUCCAGCUCGAUUAUGAGGAAGGAGGCAACGUUGUCUUCCCCAAGUGCGAGGCAGACGCAUCGUGGCUAUUCUCGCUCGAUGCUACUCGGCAAGUCGUCGUCAUCCUCCACUGCGUCAACAUUCUUCGAAGUUAGAACUUCGACCUGCUGGUACUCCCUUUUCCCUUUUCCCUACUCUGUCAUAUUUAUAAUGUAAUUUAGGAAAUGUCUGUCAGUGGAAAAUGUUUCUUCAUUUUCCUUUAAAUCUUGGGGAAACAUGCGAUUUUAUUUUUAAGUGCUCUAUAAGUGUCGAAUGAGGUACGUACUAUUAAGUUUGUGAAAUUUAGAAAAUGUAAGUGUAUGUCUGAGUAAAUUUGCUUGGCCACCAAAAAAGGUAGUAAAUUUGCUAAUGCUGUGCAAGAUUGACAUAUUUUUAGUGAUUUAUUUACUGUAUUAAAUUGAAUAUGAAUUUAGAGUGUAUUUAUAUACUAUAUUUAUAGCCAUUUUAUCAUCCUGUAUACUGGCUGCUCUUGGCAUUCAUUCGAUUGACUUAUGCUGAAGUUACUAAAUGAUGACAAUAAGUUUUGAAUGUCAAAUACAUCUCAAGGCAUAGUUUUAAUUUCUUUAUGCCCCCUCCACUUUUUUCGGGCAUGGGACCGGCAUUGGCAGUGUUAGGCCCCCCCUACCCAUAUUAUUAUUCAAAAAACUUAAGAAUUAAUUAGUACAUUUGUGAUUAGCUAUAGUUUUAAUAAUUUUAAAAGAAAAAGGAAGAUUAAAUCAGGUCUGAUUGCAUUCUACAUAUUAAAUAUAAAAAAUGUCCCGACGCUCUCACUAUUGCUUUGCACUAAAUAAUAAGCCUGAAGAAUCAGAUAUCACAUAAUAUAGUCAAUGUUUUGUAGCAAUGAACUAUUUCCACCAAAUGUCGAUUCGUGUUUGCGAUACAUCGGCACUGUUGGAGACCAUAUUUGUCCUGCCAUAUCAUGUGAGCAUAGUGAAGUCGCUUUGUAUUUUUCAUGAUAGUUUGCAAUGUACUAAAUUUCUAUAUAUGCAAUUCUUAUGUAAUAGGCCGCCUCAGCUAGUGAAAGAAGUGUCAUGCUGAAAUUUUGUUAUUUUUUCAUACCUUUACAAUAUUUGUACUAAAUCAACAACAACUAAAUGGAACGGAUGGAGUACGUUCUUGACCACAUCAUCCUCAUUGCUAUCUUCAUCAUUUAUCAUUACCUGCAGUCCAUCCCUUUUUUGUGACUCUUGAGAAGGCUACGUAUAGUUGUCCAUGUGUGAAAACUUGUUUAGGUAGAAAUAGUUCUACCUUGUUUAGAGAUUGCCCCUUGCUUUUCUUGAUAGUCAUAGCAGAGCAAACCGAUAUUGGAUAUUGUCUCCUUUUUUAGAACGAACGGCCAUGCGGAUUCAGUUGGUGACAUGACUAUUCUUGGAAUAUAUAUACCAUUUCUCCCACAUGUGUUCCUGUUGUUAUCUGUGCUUUGAUGAAUUUUCUUCCAAGUUAAAAUUACCAUCCUUGUACAAUUGCAUAACCCAUCACUUUGCUUGAUAUUACAUAGGAGCAUCACAUGUAUUUCCACUUUUAAUUCGAGCUUGUGAUUUAGGAUUCCAUGAAAUUGUAAGCUAUUCAGUAACUCUGCUGGAUAUAACAUUUCCGUUUAUGCAUUUAAGGUUGUUGCCUUGCAUACUGUGUUGCAGUUUAAAUAAAUUUUCUCUUCACCUUGUAGUUGAUCCAUUAUAUAAUCAUUUAUAUCAUAAAUUGUUUCGUUCCUUGGACAUAAUAUUGUUCUUUCUUCUGAGAAAUAUCGCUUGCGAUAGUACCUCCCCUGCAAAUUUGGAUAUGCUUUCCACAUUUUUAUUAUUAUUUCCUUUCUUUAGUAGUAUGGCACUUGGUAUUUUUAUCAUCUCCUCACCUUCUGAUGUUGUAUUUUUUUCCAUCACUAAUAUUCAGAAUCCACUCUGUGAAUUUGCUACCUUUGUUUCUCUGAUUCAUCAUGUGUUGUGCAGUUGAGUCGCAUGCUCUUUGUUAGUUUCAUUAUAUGAAUGUCCCUCUCUUUUCAAUACAAAGAAACGCAAAGUCUUCUUGCGUUUUCUCAAAAAAUUAUAUGAAUGUCCCUCCAAAGAUAUGACCUUUUAAUGGAUGCAGUUACUAUGUUGUGUCUUCUUCCCUUUGGUAUAACAGAAAGGAUCUGGCAGAAGUCCCCUCCUGGAACCAUUGUCAUGCCCCUGAAUGGUCGCUCAAUGUUGUUCACAUUUUUAUGCCUUAAUAUAUCCCUGAGAGUCCUGUCUAGCGCUUCAAAAUAUAUCUUGUUUGCCAUUGGAGCCUCGUCCCAUAGUAUUAGCGACAUCUUUUUUAGUGUGUCUAUCAAGUGUGAACCUUGUUUGAUGUCACAGGUUGACUCUUCUUUAAGAAUUAGGUGGAUGUGGAACCUUGAGUGCGCCGUUCCAUCUUUGUGUAGAAGCAGCACUGCAAUAACACAUGACACCACUUCUGUUGAGCAAGGCUAUAAUUCUGUGAAGAUGGUACUUACUGGAGGUGGUUUGAUCGCUCAACUGAGCCGAUUGCAGUUGAGGCGAGUCAACAGGAGAAUGGGCCAUUGGAGGGCUGGUUGCCGCUGGAGGAAGACAAUGUCAAAGUGCCACUUGUUGGAUAUGCGGGGUGAUCUGAAGUCAGACAGGACAAUCAAUAAUUGACGCUUUUUAAAGGGAAGGUAUUUUAGGUUGGCUGAGUUAUUUGACAUGUGCACGACGGAAAGAGAGAUUGUUUCGAUCGUGAGAGUUUUGUUCUAUUUUUAGACAGAUUUUAUCUCUUUACACGAUCGUGAGAGGUUGGUUAUAUUUUGAAAAAUUGUAUCUCUACACGACCGUGAGAGUUUGUUUCUAUUGAGAUUGUAUCCCUUAUUGCUUAAAAAAAGGAGAUUGUAUCCCUUGGUUUUUGGAAAUAUGCCAACUGAAUUAAGAAGUUUUUUUCCCUGCAAAAAAUAUA